Molecule: ribosomal RNA, 165 nt
Filed under: uncultured bacterium
Lineage: Bacteria
Description: partial 16S rRNA
Rfam family: Bacterial small subunit ribosomal RNA
Source: RNAcentral
UAGGGAAUCUUCGGCAAUGGACAAAAGUACUGACCGAGCAACGCCGCGUGAGUGAAGAAGGUUUUCGGAUCGUAAAACUCUGUUGUUAGAGAAGAACAAGGGUGAGAGUAACUGUUCACCCCUUGACGGUAUCUAACCAGAAAGCCACGGCUAACUACGUGCCAG